CCUACGGGAGGCAGCAGUGGGGAAUAUUGCGCAAUGGGCGAAAGCCUGACGCAGCGACGCCGCGUGAGGGAUGAAGGUCUUCGGAUCGUAAACCUCUGUCAGCAGGGAAGAACGGUCACUGUGCUAAUCAGCAGUGAAUUGACGGUACCUGCAAAGGAAGCACCGGCUAACUCCGUGCCAGCAGCCGCGGUAAUACGGAGGGUGCGAGCGGUAAUCGGAAUUACUGGGCGUAAAGCGCUCGUAGGCGGUAUGUCAAGUCAAGGGUGAAAUCCCCGCGCUCAACGUGGGAACUGCCCUUUAAACUGGCAAACGGUGGUGGGUGAGAGGAUAGGGGAAUUCCAGGGGGAGGAGUGAAAUCCGUAGAUAUCUGGAGGAACAUCAGUGGCGAAGGCGACUAUCUGGCACAUAACUGACGCUGAGGAGCGAAAGCGUGGGUAGCAAACAGGAUUAGAUACCAUAGUAGUC
Molecule: ribosomal RNA, 465 nt
Filed under: uncultured bacterium
Lineage: Bacteria
Description: partial 16S ribosomal RNA
Rfam family: Bacterial small subunit ribosomal RNA
Source: RNAcentral